Long non-coding RNA from Oncorhynchus tshawytscha (Chinook salmon), 1401 nucleotides. NCBI's taxonomy places the organism in Eukaryota, Metazoa, Chordata, Actinopteri, Salmoniformes, Salmonidae. The record is from Ensembl.
UUCCUAAUAGCCAUCGCUGGGAUCCUGGUGUCCUCCUAAAAUAAAGAACGCGUAUUUAGAUUGAGCAUGCUUGUGGCAAACCUGUGCGCGGUGCACGCAGCUACGACGUAUGUGGAUUGGCGAUUUUGAAAAGGGGUGUUCAGUUCUUAGUUCUGAGAGGGCUGUACACUCAUUUUGGAGGACGAUAUGACUGUGCAAGAUAUAUAAUUACUGGUCGGGUUUUCGAAUAUGUAACAAGAAGAGUCUGAUCGUAAUGCCAGGCCAGUGGGUGAUUCUCUAAACGCUCUAAUCUCUCCCAAGCAAGGAUUUCAUUAUGUAUCUGCGUGUAGUUUCGCCAAACCGAUAUUUUCAAAUGCAUUAUGGAUUUAUGGAACAUUAUUCACCUAUUACUUAAUUUUGUGAACGUUUUCGGAGGGCUGCGUGGCUGAACUAAAGACAUUUGGGGCAAAGCAGCUACGUAGCCGUUUUUAUGUUACAGUAUUUUAACAAUGAGAGCAGCAACGGCACCUCCCAUGAGAAAUCUGCAUGCACAAACAGCAUGGAGACCUACCAUGGCACAGCCUCGGUAUGCUGCCAGCCUGGUGUCACCUGAACAGACAUUAGAGAUGUGAACCUGCCGUUGGCAUCAUGGUCAGGGCUUUGCAGCAACAGCGGGGAGCCAUUCAAAAUGGAGUGUGGGAAAGGGCGGCAGUCUGGUCGGCGGGAGCGUGCAGUUGUCCAGGUAAGGAUGUGUGUCUGUGUGGAUGUCUAUGCAUUUAUACAUACAGUAUGCUGGUGCUGUGCAUCUGUGCUUGUGUUUGCCGGUGUGUUUGUGUGUGUGUUUGUGUCUGUGUGUUUGUAUGUGCCUGUCUCUGUGUUUUGCGUUUGAUUGCACAGCUCCAGUGGUGAGGUCCCUAGCUCUCUCCCUUCACUGUCUGUCUGUCACUGAGAGGGUCACAGCUCCAGUGGUGAGGUCCCUAGCUCUCUCCCUUCCCUGUCUGUCUGUCACUGAGAGGAUCACAGCUCCAGUGGUGAGGUCCCUAGCUCUCUCCCUUCACUGUCUGUCUGUCACUGAGAGGGUCACAGCUCCAGUGGUGAGGUCCCUAGCUCUCUCCCUUCCCUGUCUGUCUGUCACUGAGAGGAUCACAGCUCCAGUGGUGAGGUCCCUAGCUCUCUCCCUUCACUGUCUGUCUGUCACUGAGAGGAUCACAGCUCGAUGGUUUAAUGGCCGGAAAUGUUUAAGAGGGAUGAUGGAUGGAAGAAAGAGAAGAGAGAGAGAGAGCUACAAUGUGUUUUCUGGCCUCUCCUCCCUCGUUCACAGCUGUUGUUCUCUGCUGUGACUGGGCGUUGUGGUCUUGUGUGUUCUGGUUUUGGCUCGCUCCCACUGUAACAAUUUUGUAAAUGUCUUAAAUAUCUCUUGAC